GUUGGUGUUGAUUAGGGCGAGGGUCCACCCGUUCCCAUUCCGAACACGGAAGUUAAGCUCGCUUCUGCCGAAAAUACUUGCCUGGAGACGGGCCGGGAAGAUAGGUAACGCCAACA
This is a ribosomal RNA of Ruminococcaceae bacterium D16, 116 nucleotides long. NCBI's taxonomy places the organism in Bacteria, Bacillati, Bacillota, Clostridia, Eubacteriales, Oscillospiraceae. The record is from Rfam.